CCACCAUCCUAAAAAAAAAUAAAAAAACUCUUAAAAAGAUGACUAAAAAAUUAGGUAACAAAGCACAAUUAACGUUGCUAAUAUAAUUACAACUAGUGUAGUGGUUUCCUCGUCCAUGACGCACUCUUUGAUUAGCUGGCCCACCACCCCAAAACCAUAAAGUACAAAGCUUUCUUCAACGCACUAACGACGAGACUCGUCUCUUUUCCCACUGAGUCAUCCCCAACUCUCUCUCUCUACAGACACACCAUCGGCGGCAACCUAGCAGUCCCCUCCGAUAUCACCAGGUGUUGGAGGGAUGGACUUGGUACAGACCAAAUAUAAUUUCAUCAAGUGCACAGAGUGGCGAACGAAGUGGCUCCCCAGUGUCCUCUGUUUUUUUUUUGGCAGGAAGCCUCCCACUGCACUCAGAUUUGCUCAUUGCUACUGAACUCUUUUACUGGAAUUUUCAGAUUUGUAGGUGGAGGUGUCUUGGGAGGAGAGUGAACAAAAUCAUGGGCUGGUUUUGGUAAGUCAAUUUCUAGAGUGGAGUACCUAUACCUUACUGGGUAAACUUUUAAUGAGGAUUUUGGUUUGUGAGAUAUAUCAUCUUAAUGACUAAUGAGGGUCUUGCAAAACAUAAACUGGUAGUACUUUGAUUCCACAUCUGAAGCUGUCUAGUGUAGUGCCUUUUUCAAUAGUAUUUUUGAGCAAUCUCUUUAUAAAGAUGUCUGAGCCUCUUCUCAUUCUUAACUGCAUUGUACUCUAGUCAAUUUUGGUAACUUUCAAACUAUCUGGUUCACCUGCUUGCUUGAGAUCUGUAUUCCUGGGAAAGUGAUGUAUGUAGCACCUGAUUAGAUCAAAGUGAUAGAGCAUUGCAUCAUUUUUGUCCUAGAAGCACACUGAAUCUUUGACUGUCUUGCAGAUUCAAUAUGGGAAAGUUGAUGAUUUGUGCAGAAUGUGGGAGAUGAUGACCUAAUUCAUCUGUGUUGAACGCAGACCAGACCAACAAGUGCAACGGUCAUUAAGUGGUUAUGAACCUUCUUGGUGGAUUCCACCGCCUGAAAAGCUGUUCUUUUGCACAAUUCAUAUUAAAUUAGCUAAUGUUGUGUUUGGGAGCACCGAACGUAGCUUUAAGGUUUUUAUAUGGAUAAAUGGAAUGCAUUCAAAAUUCAUCAAGCUGUUGUUUGCUUUUCACAUAUGAAAUUCGUUUAUAUGUCUUGGAUAAUCCCAUUGAUUAUCAUAAUCUUAUUAUAUCCGUUGAAAGUGAUUCUUGUUCUGAUUCGGGUAAAUUAGUUAAGCAAAUUAAAU
Cornus florida is the source of this 1290-nucleotide long non-coding RNA. RefSeq lists it as uncharacterized. The transcript is spliced from 3 exons. The record is from RefSeq and is a predicted model, not a curated record. Lineage: Eukaryota; Viridiplantae; Streptophyta; Magnoliopsida; Cornales; Cornaceae.